Molecule: ribosomal RNA, 253 nt
Filed under: uncultured bacterium
Lineage: Bacteria
Description: partial 16S ribosomal RNA
Rfam family: Bacterial small subunit ribosomal RNA
Source: RNAcentral
UACGAAGGGGGCUAGCGUUGCUCGGAAUCACUGGGCGUAAAGGGCGCGUAGGCGGCCAUUCAAGUCGGGGGUGAAAGCCUGUGGCUCAACCACAGAAUUGCCUUCGAUACUGUUUGGCUUGAGACCGGAAGAGGUCAGUGGAACUGCGAGUGUAGAGGUGAAAUUCGUAGAUAUUCGCAAGAACACCAGUGGCGAAGGCGGCUGACCGGUCCGGUUCUGACGCUGAGGCGCGAAAGCGUGGGGAGCAAACAGG